This 493-nucleotide ribosomal RNA is filed under the name uncultured bacterium. RNAcentral's name for it is "partial 16S ribosomal RNA". It matches the Rfam family "Bacterial small subunit ribosomal RNA", at positions 28 to 507 of the family's 1533-position model. The record is from RNAcentral.
GACGAACGCUGGCGGCGUGCCUAACACAUGCAAGUUGAGCGACGAAACGGGGCUUGCCCUGGGGCAAAGCAGCGAACGGGUGAGUAAGACGUGGGUAACCUACCCCGAUAACCGGGACAACCCGAGGCAACACGGGCUAAUACCGGACGUGCUCACUGGACUUCGGUUCAGUGCGAAAAGGAAACAUCGGCCUCCGUUCCGGGAGGGGCCCGCGGCCCAUUCGUUUGUUGGUGAGGUAACGGCUCACCAAGCCCGCGAUGGGUAGCUGGUCUGAGAGGACGAUCAGCCACACUGGGACUGAGACACGGCCCAGACUCCUACGGGAGGCAGCAGUGGGGAAUCUUGCGCAAUGCGCGAAAGCGUGACGCAGCAACGCCGCGUGGGGGAAGAAGGCCUUCGGGUUGUAAACCCCUUUCAGGAGGGACGAAGGUUCGGCGGUGAAUAGCCGUCCGGACUGACGGUACCUCCACAAGAAGCCCCGGCUAACUACGUG